UACGUAGGGACCAAGCGUUGUUCGGAUUUACUGGGCGUAAAGGGCGCGUAGGCGGCGUGUUAAGUCAGCUGUGAAAUCUCCGAGCUUAACUCGGAACGGUCAGCUGAUACUGAUGUGCUAGAGUGCAGAAGGGGCAAUCGGAAUUCUUGGUGUAGCGGUGAAAUGCGUAGAUAUCAAGAGGAACACCUGAGGUGAAGACGGGUUGCUGGGCUGACACUGACGCUGAGGCGCGAAAG
Molecule: ribosomal RNA, 236 nt
Filed under: uncultured bacterium
Lineage: Bacteria
Description: partial 16S ribosomal RNA
Rfam family: Bacterial small subunit ribosomal RNA
Source: RNAcentral